CGUCUAGGCGGCGACCUAAGUCCCAUGUGAAAGCUCCCGGCUCAACUGGGAGAGGGCGUGGGAAACUGGGUAGCUCGAGACUCGGAGGGGGGUGUGGAAUUCCCGGUGGAGUGGUGAAAUGCGUUGAGAUCGGGAGGAACCCCAGUAGCGAAGGCGGCACCCUGGCCGAGAUCUGACGCUGAGGCGCGACAGCGUGGGGAGCGAACG
Molecule: ribosomal RNA, 207 nt
Filed under: uncultured bacterium
Lineage: Bacteria
Description: partial 16S ribosomal RNA
Rfam family: Bacterial small subunit ribosomal RNA
Source: RNAcentral